RNAcentral lists this ribosomal RNA (254 nucleotides) under uncultured bacterium. RNAcentral's name for it is "partial 16S ribosomal RNA". It matches the Rfam family "Bacterial small subunit ribosomal RNA", at positions 524 to 776 of the family's 1533-position model. The record is from RNAcentral.
UACGUAGGGGGCGAGCGUUGUUCGGAUUUACUGGGCGUAAAGGGCUCGUAGGCGGCCAACUAAGUCGGACGUGAAAUCCCUCGGCUUAACCGGGGAACUGCGUCCGAUACUGGAUGGCUUGAGUGUGGGAGAGGGAUGCGGAAUUCCAGGUGUAGCGGUGAAAUGCGUAGAUAUCUGGAGGAACACCGGUGGCGAAGGCGGCAUCCUGGACCACGACUGACGCUGAGUGAGCGAAAGCCAGGGGAGCAAACGGG